This 69-nucleotide transfer RNA is filed under the name Leptobrachella pelodytoides (Thao Asian toad). Its description in RNAcentral is "Leptolalax pelodytoides (Thao Asian toad) tRNA-Arg". It matches the Rfam family "tRNA". Rfam says of the family: Transfer RNA (tRNA) molecules are approximately 80 nucleotides in length. Lineage: Eukaryota; Metazoa; Chordata; Amphibia; Anura; Megophryidae. The record is from RNAcentral.
AGGUAGUUAGUCUAAACAAGAUAAUUGAUUUCGACUCAAUAGACUCCAGUUAAACUCUAGAACUACCUU